Molecule: long non-coding RNA, 2265 nt
Organism: Bos grunniens (domestic yak)
Lineage: Eukaryota; Metazoa; Chordata; Mammalia; Artiodactyla; Bovidae
Source: Ensembl
AUGUUUGCGUGCGAGCGUUCUGGCGUCCAGCUGUGCCCCGAGGCCCAGCUUGCAGACGGCGGGUCUCCGGGUCCCCGCAGGCAACGACACGUGCAGCCGCUCCGACCUGUCUGGUUAUCUACCGAGACCGCCAGCCGACCUCGGCGGCCGCCGCGGGGCCCACCCCGACCACAGAGGCCCCAACUAUUGGACAGAGGCUGGAAAAGUUUUCUUCCCAUGACUUUUGGCAGUAAAGAUGGGAUGGUUGGGACUCUCCACUCUCAGGGGACUGCUGCUGAGAUCCCCGGACCUUUGACCAUGCCAGCGAAGGUAAACUUUAUUUUACCAGUUAGGAUCCUGGGUCUCCGCCAGACUCUGGCCAAGCAAGGACAGUAAGAGCCUCUCUCUGCCUUUCUGAAAAAGAUUUUCCAAAUUUUUGAUUUACAGAAGGAAAUUUUUGGUUAAAGCCAGUUCUUUGCUGUUUUUAAACAAGGGAGGAACAGCCAAAAAAAAAUCACCCAAGGCAAGAUUAAAGGGACCAGGGAAACUUAUCAAGAUUAGGAGACUGGCCACCUGGGAGAUGAGAUGAAGGGACUGCCAACCCUGCUCACAGCCUGAUUUUGUCCGAGACCCCAGCUUUGAACCACUGUUCUCAAACCCUUCAUCAAAUUCUCUAGGGUGGAGACCACCUGAGACAGGAUUAAGGGAGUGCAGGCCCUGCACACACCCUGAUCUUGAGAGGAACCCCACCCUUAAAUUGUUCCUAUAAAGAGUGUUAGUCCCUUAGUCGUGUCUGACUCUGCAAACCCCCCCGGACCGUAGCCCCCCAGUUUCCUCUAUCCAUGGAAUUCUCCAGGCAAGAGCAGUGGACUGCGUUGCCAUUCCCUUCUCCAGUGGAUCUUCUUGACUCAGGGACUGAAGCUGGGUCUCCUACAUUGCAGGCAGAUUUUUUUACUGUCUGAGCCACCAGGGAAGCCCCUUGCUAUAAAACUCCUUAUCAAAUCCUCCUGGGUUGGGACUUAUGCUUUCUGGGGGACAGGCACCCACCAUGUCCCCCUUUACCUGGGAAAGCAAUAAAGCCAUUCUUUUCUACGUCAUUCCCUCCCAGUCUGCUCCUCCCAUCCCUGAGUUCUUUGGAUAUUGGGACUUUUGUUACAGGCAGCUGUUCUGUCUGUCUUUUGUGCUACUGUUUUGUCUUGUGGUAGCUAAAAGUGUUGUUUCCUGAGAACCUGGUUUUGGUAACUGAAAAGUUUACUCUGGUUUUCUACUUGCUUAAGGUGUUGGAGAAGCCGCUUGAGAGUCCCUUGGACUGCAAGGAGAUCCAACCAGUCCAUUCUGAAGGAGAUCAGCCCUGGGAUUUCUUUAGAAGGAAUGAUGCUGAAGCUGAAACUCCAGUACUUUGGCCACCUCAUUCGAAGAGUUGACUCAUUGGAAAAGACUCUGAUGCUGGGAGGGAUUGGGAGCAGGAGAAGGGGACGACAGAGGAUGAGAUGGCUGGAUGGCAUUACUGACUCGAUGGAUGUGAGUCUGAGUGAAUUCCAGGAGAUGGUGAUGGACAGGGAGGCGUGGUGUGCUGCGAUUCAUGGGGUCACAAAGAGUCGGACAUGACUGAACGACUGAACUGAACUGAACUGAUCUGAAGGGUAGAAAUGGGGCUUCCCAGGUGGCGCUAGAGAUAAAAAGCCCACCUGCCAAUGCAGGAGACUUAAGAGUAGCAGAUUUGAUCUCUGGGUUGGGAAGAUCCCCUGGAGAAGGCAAUGGCAACCCACCCCAGUAUUCUUGCUUGGGAAAUCCCAUGGACAGAGGAGCCUGGUGGGCUACAGUCCAUGGGGCCGAAAGGAGUCGGACACGACUGAAAUAUGGGUAGUCUGGGUACCACAUCUGAAGUGGGGUUCUACUGACCAUUAGCAACUCUCAGGGAAUUCAUCGAAAUUUAAAUCUUGAAAGGUCUCAUCCUGUAAGGACUCUUGUCUCUCUCGCCACUGCCUCUGUUCAUCGCUAUGGCAAUGAGAUGCUUCCUUCCUUCCUCCUUGGCUAUCUUUGGGUAUGAGGGUUGCACCUGCUGUGCCCUCUUUGAUUUUUGGCCCUGUGAAGUAAAAAAACGUGAAGAAAGCGAAAAGUCGCUAAGUUGUGUCCAACUCUUUGCGACCCCACGGACUGUAGCCCACCAGGCUCCUCUGUCCAUGGAGAUUCUCCAGGCAAGAAUGCUGGAGUGGGUUGCCAUGCCCUCCUCCAGGGGAUCUUCUCACCCCAGGGACUGAGGAGCCUGGUGGGCUACAGUCCAUG